AGAAACUUAGGUUAAACAUUAAACCAAGAGCCUUCAAAGCCCUAAACAGGGGGUAAAACCUCUAGCUUCUG
Molecule: transfer RNA, 71 nt
Filed under: Bavayia ornata
Lineage: Eukaryota; Metazoa; Chordata; Lepidosauria; Squamata; Diplodactylidae
Description: tRNA-Trp
Rfam family: tRNA
About the family: Transfer RNA (tRNA) molecules are approximately 80 nucleotides in length. Their secondary structure includes four short double-helical elements and three loops (D, anti-codon, and T loops).
Source: RNAcentral